Long non-coding RNA from Dromaius novaehollandiae (emu), 7190 nucleotides. RefSeq lists it as uncharacterized. The record is from RefSeq and is a predicted model, not a curated record. The transcript is spliced from 2 exons. Lineage: Eukaryota; Metazoa; Chordata; Aves; Casuariiformes; Dromaiidae.
UGGCUUCGGCACGCUGAUUACUGCGUGUUGACGGGGAACCCCAGCCUGAGGGACGGCUUUGCCGGCACCAAACGCUGCGCCCUCGCAGAGGUGCUGCGACCCGGCGCUCACGCCUGGGCGCUGCUCGCUGCGGGCACCUCGUCGGAUUAGAGAAGAGCUGCACAAAAUACUUUGGCUUCCUGCCUUCCUACCCCUGCUCCUCCGGGGAGCACCAGGGUGGGAGGAGGGGGAAAAAAUAAGAAUGCAAGAGCAAGCCUUUCCCUGCCAGGCUCACGCGGCGCUGCCGAACGCCUGCUCUCCGGCCGGCCACAGGCACGGGCCGCAACUCACGUGGCGCACGGGGACGGGACCCCGAGGUGACCGCGAGGCCAGGUGCACAGCUCGCUGGUAGCCGUCGACGCACCCCACAUUCGCAGCAGCCGAGGGAGCUUCUGUGACUGAUUUCUACAGUGCUGCCCACCCCGCCGGGGCCGCGGGCUCCCCCUUCUCCCAGCCAGCCGGGUCUGCGGAGCUGCUCCCUGCCCCAUGCCGUCCUCAAAACGCAGCGCAAGCCACAUCGAAUUGCUCCACGAGACUUGGAAGAUCUUCUUGUAAAGCGAGAGGAUGCUUUUUGGGUCCAAAAGUUGAUCUGUGUCCUGACCUCUCAAACCGUAGCUGUGGCUUUAUGACAAAACAUCUAUUCAUCUCCAAGCAGAUUUAUUUUUAAGCGUCUCCUUGGCAAGCAUGAAUAAGUUUUGUUUAAUGGAUCCUGUUCCUGAGGCUAGCUGCAUUUUGUUCACUGCAAAAUCCAAAUAUAUUUGCCCGAAUUAUUACUCUUGAUAAUAGAAUGGUUGUGUUCAAGCUGCCGGGCAGACACAGAAGCAGGGGCAGCUCUUUCCCAAAGAAUUUAUGAUCAUCAGACUUUACAGUCUUGCAAAUAGUGAGCGUGUGCGACGACAAAUGAUCAGAACGAUGAGAUGCAUUGGGAAAGCCGCAGUUGCGAGCUAUGAGCCUGAUUUAGUGGGGCCUGAUGAAGUGGGCUCAGGAAAGGGGUGGGUGGGUGGUGGCAGCUGGAGACCUGCCAUGCCCUUUGGAGUGGCGACACUGCCGCACCGGCUGGGGAAGGCAACGCAGGCUCUUACCCCAGCUCUGAAGCUGCACAAGUCAGGUCGUGCCAGCGCAAGAUUCCUUUGGGAAACAGGCGGCUGGAAAACACUGACUCAGUGGAAAUGUUUGGGGAGAAGACCUGGAGUUGAUCAACAGCUUUGGAAGGAAAUUGCCUACCCGUUCAAUACAGUCACAGCAUUUCAUGUGGGCUUUAUAACUGAUAAAAUACAAACAUUUUGAUAAGAUCAGAAUUAGGUAUUUUGGAAUAGAUCAUUUAGACAAAAAUUCUACACUUCUCACUUUUUGCCUCAGUUUAGGAGAAAAGCCACAUACAAAACACUAGCAUUUCCCAGUGGUGGAAAUUCUGCUUUUUGGCCAGUCUUAGUGGCAAUAGAAAAGAGCAGUUCAGAAAAGCCCAUGAAAAAUCGUACAGAUGAGAUUUAUAGCCUUCUUUCUGGCUGCUUUGCUAACAGAGCAGCUGGGGAUUCCUCCUGAGCAGAGGAAUCGCUGGGUAGUUCAAGGCUCUUGUAGCCACAUCAACUUGACUGUCCCCUGGAGCAUGAGGGUGUGUGUGCAGAGCAGAUCGCGCUGUAGCAUUCCUCGGACAGCGGAGAAGUCCCCCGGGUGCUGUUCCUGCGAGCGCAGGGCUGCUCGUAGCCACAUUAGCGACUGCAUUCUGCGCCAAAUGGAGCUCAGACAGACACAAGGGUGGUUCCCCCAUCAUUCAGCGUUGGUCCUUUGAGCGAGGGAUGGGCUAGGGAGGCCAAAGUCUGAAUCUCUAAAAUUUAAACCAUAUGAUGUUUGGAUCCACGGUCAAUUUAAACUGAACUAAAUAACGAGGCAGGAGGAAGGUAGGGACAGAAAUGUUUGCUGCUUCGCCCCUUCUCUCAAAACCAGCCCCCCUCCCCCAGCAAUUCCCUUUAUCCCAGAGGCCUGAUCCUCCGGGACACUCAGACGUCCGCUUCAGCCACCUAAAGAAGCUGCUGUAGCAUCAGAAGUACCGGCUUCGCAGAGCCCACAGCCUCGAGGGACUUCACACGCGCAGACCCCAGCAGCCGCGGUCUGGUUGUUUUACAGCACGAACCCACCCAGCAUGAGCUGAUUUAUAGGACGAAGCCUCUGAAAGUAGGAGGGAUGUGGCCUAACAAGCCCCCCGGCUGCAGCACGGCUCCCUGCCUGCGAGGCUACAGCCGAGGCACAAGAAAGGCAGGACGUGCCUGGGGCUGGGGCUGGGGCUGGGGCUGGGGCUGACUCAGCUGCGCUCGCUCCCCUGCGCGCCGGGAGUGCCGCGGCCCGAAGCAGCUCACUACCCCACAGCGCGUGCCGUACUCUGGACUUUGGCUGUUGCUGAGAUGAAUUUAUAAGCUCAGAAGGGGUGUUACAGAAACAGCAGCCGCAGGGAAGGCAAUAGGAGUUGGCUUUGGAGCCAAGGACACCUGGGUUGAAGCCACAGCUUGGACAAAAUCUAAGAAAUCGCAGACCAGUCCUGAUGCCUCCCUAGGGCCCAGUCUGUGAACUGGAGCUGGCUGAACUUAGAGGGGCGGCACAUCAGAGAUUUGGAUAAGAAACAAAAUCAGGGUCCAGAGUGCAGUCUUACAAAUAAGAAAAGCUGCAUUUAGCAUGUAAAUAGGACCCCGAGAAAGCAUGGUACAGAUCCCCCUUUUGAGAGCCCAGAUCUUCAAGCACUACAAAGGACAUCAGCUAGGCAACAAAUGUUUUUAAGAGGGAAGCAAAGCAGAUGAGAUCUAAAGUGGGUAUGCCUUGUAUCUACCAGUCAAAAAGACAACGGAGCACAUGGGGAACAAGCUAUCAGGGACUGCAAAGCAGAAAAACACUAGAAUUGGAAAUAGGAUCCUUCUCUCAGGGCUGGUUGGCCGCAUCUCAGACACCAGUGCUGUUAUGAGAGUGGGAGAAAGGCUGGACUCGAACCGUGGAGGAGCCUGUCAGCCUCUUCGCUCCCACCACCCACGGUGGUCCUCCCAGGGGCUGCGGCCAUCUGGCGUGUGGCUGUUCCCACCUCCAGCAAGCAGGAUGCAAAGAGCAUCAAAGCCAUACAGAGGCUUUUGGUGACUAAAUGAAACCAGGAAAGCUCAGAGGAGGGAAGUGAACAGUGCAAGAGGUUUGGGAUUGCACAACACAAAUGUGUGUGCACUGGCUAAGAACAGGAUCUGAGCAGGUCGUAUGAAGCAUGCACAGUACCAUAGCACUCCUUAUCACAAGAGCUUGGAAGCUUAAUAUUUAAUGGUUUAACUCCUUGUGGCUCAAGGGCAGGCAGACGUGCGUGGUGUUGCUUUCUGAGGCUCCCAAGGCAGAGAGCUGACUUUCCUGAGCAGUUAAGUCUGCUAGCUGAAAAAAUUAUCUGGUAAGAGAAACAUGCUAAAGGGGCUGAUUAUAAGGCAACACCUUUCUUCAUCCUAGGCUGCUUUCUCUACGUGUUCUUUCUCUAUAUCAGUCCUUGCAAAACCAGGUGAUACUCACGAUCUGUCACUGGCAGUUAAAGGACAGUAAGGCUGCAAGAACAGUAGAAUUGCAACAGACAUCAAUCUACAACAGCAAGAGGGAGCAUGGGAGUGAACAGAAAGGCCAAGGUUUGGAAGAACAACAUGGAACACGGGAAAAUCGCUAGACUUCAAGGAAAAGGCAGGAAGCCGAGUUCAUUGCCCUGCAAUUGCCAGCUCCGAGCAAGAGACAUUUCGACUAGCUGCUGCACACCAGCUAACAUACCAAAAGCCACAAAACACCCCCACAAACUUGGAACAACUGAUCAAAAGCCACAAACUGCCAGUACCACAGGAGAAGAGCAGGACCUUGGGCCUGCAAUAACUGGCAAUUUAAGAUGAAAUGCUAAAGCAAACAUUGAUUAGCACCCAUGUCUCUUGCAAGAGAGAAGAGGGGGAAAAAAAACAAAAACAAAUUAUCCCUUCUGUUUUGCUGUGGGAGAUGAGGGUCAGAUCCUUUCCCAGUGCCAAAUCUGGCAAUCGCCUUAAUCGCUAAACAAGCAGCCGUGCCCUUUAUUCCAGCACCCUUCACUUACUGCCCCAUCUCUUUGUUGUAGUCAGUCUCUGAUGCCUCAUGAGAUUAACAAAUGAACGGCUAAAUCAAUACAGUCUUCUUGAUCUCUGCUGGCCACAAACAACCCUGGACUAUGGGCUGUGAACAUAACUUUUGUCUGAAAGAAGUAUCAGAGUGUCAGAGACUCCCCAGAGAGAAGCCCAGCACCCCAACCCCUGGGACAUCUCAGUCCUGGCUGUCCAAAAAUUCACAAACACACAUGGGGGAACAGUUCAGCUGUGCAUUGGGAAAGGGUCUUCCCUUCCUACAGUUUCCUUAUUUUCUCCUCGAGUAUCCUAUCAGCUCCAGCCUUGAUCCUCCCUGAAAUCCAGGCACUGCAGGAAUAUUUUCACAUUCUUCCUGACAGGCUGGGAAAUAACCUUAGCCUAUAGACUCAACUUGGGGGCCAACCUGCAAGCAUCGGUCCUCUUCGAAGAGGACCUCAGGCUGCUGAGUUCCCGUCAGUAGGGAACCUCACCAGACUCCCUCUGAAGCAGAGAAGUGUGUGUACGAGAAUGAAAGUAAAUUAGGUCUGAACAAGAUUAACAGGGAUUUAACUGAACUAUGUGAACUGGAACUCCAGUCACGAGCUACUUAUUAGCCUGUCUCAAGGGACUGUGCUGCUUGCACUGGAGGAGCACAAAGAUGCAUUGUGAGCCUGAGACACAGCUCAAGGGGAUGGCGACAGCCACAGCUGAAGAUGAGCAUGGCCAGAGAGGGAGAUCUGCUUAAAUAUGAUCAAAAACAACCCCCAAAAAUCUGAACUCAGCCAUGUUUUUUCAGAGCAGAGGUUUGGCCUGCUGAGAGAAAGGAACUCCCUACUAUACAUUAGCAGAGGAAACCCACCUCCCAGCCCAGCUUCAGGGCUUGGGAUCCCAGACCAACUGGUACUGCCUAUUGGCUAGUAUCUGGAGGCUGGCGUUUGAAAACCUUCCCUUCAACAGAAGUGACUUAACGAGGUCUGCAGCUCCCUUUGGGAUGUUAAUAACAAAACAGCCUCGAGAAAAGUACUUGGGAAUUAAGGGAGUUACCACACAAGUCCUUCUCUCCACUUGGUUUUCUGCUGCGGGAACCAAGUGACGCUUGCCAGAGCUUGGCUAGCCCCCUUAGCCUUUUCCUAGCUGAAGAACUGGCACCAGACAGCUCCACGCUCCGGCCACGUACACAUGAGCUACUCAUACACCAAGGGGCUACAGAAAAUCCCUGUUAUCCAUCUACUGAAACACCAUCUAAUACCCUGCUAGUAUUAUUACCAAAUGCUGCCUUUAUUAUUACUACCUUCCCAGGGAUUCUUGGAAUCAAAAUCUCUCAGGGGAGGUGAAUUAAUUUAGUCACAGCACCAUUUCCUCCUUCCAGGAAGGUGGAGGUGUAUUGGAAGAUAGUUUGCUACUUCAAAGUCCAACACAAAUAUGCACAUGCCUGACUGUUAACUAACCAAUUUCUCACAGAUUAAGGGAUCUGAAAGGCUUUCUCUUAAUGGAUCAUUUUUAUGAAUAAGGUUAUUUAUGCCCCUUCCUAUGUUCCACAGUUCUGGCAGGUUUCACAAUGAAUGCAUAGAAAGAGGCAGCACAAUUUUAAAAAGAGGUUUUUUUUUUUUUUUUAAACAAAGAGGUUGCAGUUGUAUUUAUUACACAUUUCAAGAGAAAAUAAAAUACAUGGGAUACUGGUCAUCUCUAAAAAGAUACUGCAAAUUCAGCUAAUGAGAGCAUUGAAGUAGAUAUCAAGGUGUUAGGAACAGACUGAAAAUUUAUCUCAACCCCUGCCCCCAACAAAAACAAACCCCAAUAGCCACAAUUUCUAUUUAACAAUGAGUAACUAAGCCUCUAAAUAGCUAUAACACAAUGCUGCUGUAGUAGCCUGCCAUUUCAGGGUAACAACCAUACAGUGCUCUUCACUAACUAUUUGUUGGCCGUGGAAGCAUUUUAGGUAAAAUGUAUGCUACUCUUUCAAUAUUUGAAAUUCUGUUAGAACAAAGCAUUAAAACCCACCUUGAGGUCACCUGUAGAAAGCCAGAGUUGUUAGAUGAAACAACUACAUGAUCAACUAUCCACAUUUAACAAAAUGGAACAAAUGAUCUACAGUACCUAUCCAGGACAGUGACAAGGCUUUUCUUUCACCUGCAGACUGCAGGCAGGAACAUGGGUCCUAAAGGGCAACUCAGAACAGUAUUGUUCUUUGUUAUUUGUGUGGCAAGUUUUUAUAAUGUUUCUUUACACUUAGAAUACAUAGUAACCUUACAGUGCUUGUGUCUUUCGUGUUUCCUUCUGUACUGCUAGAAUUGCCUUUAUGUAGCCGUGGAGAACAGACAAGGCACUGUUUACUCCAAAGGCCUGCUGAAGAGGGGAAGGUAUGACUGUUCACAGAUGGGGAGUGGGACCAGGCGUAGGCCAGGUAGUCUCUCCCUGCCUGUGGACACACACCCCAGCUUGUGCAGGAUAUGAUAACAAUGCCUUUGUCACCACCUCCGCUAUUAUCUGCUACCAACCACUUGCGGCCUAAACUAAUGUCAAGAGCCUGACCCACACCAAAGCUGCCUCAUAAAUCAAGUGAAAAGGGGAAUUAAUAUCUACAACUACAUGCUGAUCAGGCAUGAGAACCCAUGAUGGGGGCCCUCCACUAUUUAGUUCUCUAAAUCUGAAGGGUGGAAACCUUUGUCACAAGUUUUCAUUAAUUUCUUUUCCCUUCCCUUUUGAAAACCCAGUCAGCGGGUUGAGCCCAGAGGAGUGUGUCAGAGUGACAUAGGUCCUGGCUACUGAUAAGGAUGCCAAGAAACCUAAUCACAAUAGACAUGCGCCUUAGAAGCAUAUAAAAUGUGACAGUAACAACAGCUCUUUGGAGCUCCCUCUCAGCUGGUCUGGGACGCCCCCCUUAUUGCGUCCUGCACACUUGAGACCCUCGCCCGACGUGGAACAGGUUGUAUUACCUCUGCUUGCUCUGUAUGUAGUGUAGUGUGUUAUUUUUUUUUACCCUGUUAAAUAUGGAACUUGCUAUAUUGUUUAAACUCUCUUGCUUAAGGAUACUGGUGUACUUAAUAAAUAUCUGAAACCUGAUAA